RNAcentral lists this ribosomal RNA (240 nucleotides) under Streptomyces cavourensis. Its description in RNAcentral is "partial 16S ribosomal RNA". It matches the Rfam family "Bacterial small subunit ribosomal RNA", at positions 110 to 351 of the family's 1533-position model. The record is from RNAcentral. Lineage: Bacteria; Bacillati; Actinomycetota; Actinomycetes; Kitasatosporales; Streptomycetaceae.
GUAACACGUGGGCAAUCUGCCCUUCACUCUGGGACAAGCCCUGGAAACGGGGUCUAAUACCGGAUAAUACUCCUGCCUGCAUGGGUGGGGGUUGAAAGCUCCGGCGGUGAAGGAUGAGCCCGCGGCCUAUCAGCUUGUUGGUGGGGUAAUGGCCUACCAAGGCGACGACGGGUAGCCGGCCUGAGAGGGCGACCGGCCACACUGGGACUGAGACACGGCCCAGACUCCUACGGGAGGCAG